AAGAAAACAGCUACGGUCGCUGCGAUAAACAACCCUCCGUAGUUGUGGGGUGUCGCUUCAGACGUUGAAGAUUCCGGAGUGGACAGGGGUUCCCUGGGCUAACCAGGUUAUGUCCCAAAGGUGUGACUUCUGGCUGCCCAAAUCUUGUCCAUUCCUGUUUUGAUGUAUCUUUUCACUUGGGUGGAUAUCUGCACAUGGAGACCUUGAUACCUCUAUACAAUCUGAGUCUCACAGAGAGAAUUUUGAAUCUCUCUUAGACCUGCUUCAAAAGGCUUAUGUGAAGAUUACAAACCUUUG
Molecule: long non-coding RNA, 297 nt
Organism: Ahaetulla prasina
Lineage: Eukaryota; Metazoa; Chordata; Lepidosauria; Squamata; Colubridae
Exons: 3
Source: RefSeq, a predicted model, not a curated record